This 397-nucleotide ribosomal RNA is filed under the name uncultured bacterium. RNAcentral's name for it is "partial 16S ribosomal RNA". It matches the Rfam family "Bacterial small subunit ribosomal RNA", at positions 523 to 918 of the family's 1533-position model. The record is from RNAcentral.
AUACGUAGGGGGCGGGCGUUGUCCGGAAUGAUUGGGCGUAAAGGGCGCGUAGGCGGCCUGUUAAGUCUGGAGUGAAAGUCCUGUUUUCAAGAUGGGAAUUGCUUUGGAUACUGAUGGGCUUGAGUGCAGGAGAGGUUAUCGGAAUUCCCGGUGUAGCGGUGCAAUGCGUAGAGAUCGGGAGGAACACCAGUGGCGAAGGCGGGUAACUGGACUGCAACUGACGCUGAGGCGCGAAAGUGUGGGGAGCAAACAGGAUUAGAUACCCUGGUAGUCCACACUGUAAACGAUGAAUGCUAGGUGUAAGAGGUAUCGACCCCUUUUGUGCCGGAGUUAACACAAUAAGCAUUCCGCCUGGGGAGUACGGCCGCAAGGUUGAAACUCAAAGGAAUUGACGGGG